Molecule: ribosomal RNA, 480 nt
Filed under: uncultured bacterium
Lineage: Bacteria
Description: bacterial SSU rRNA
Rfam family: Bacterial small subunit ribosomal RNA
Source: RNAcentral
AAUGAACGUUGGCGGCGUGGAUUAGGCAUGCAAGUCGAACGCCCCGCAAGGGGAGUGGCGCAAGGGUGAGUAAGGCGACGGUAACCAACCCCGUGAUUGGGUCUAGCCGAGGGAAACCUCGGGGAAUCCCCAGCGAUGUGGCCCGAAGGCAUCUUCGGGCCACCAAAGCUCCGGCGUCGCGGGACGGGCCGUCGUGGUAUUAGCUAGUUGGUGGGGUAACGGCCCACCAAGGCGGCGAUGCCUACCGGGUGUGCGAGCACGACCCGGCACACUGGGACUGAGACACUGCCCAGACUCCUACGGGAGGCUGCAGUCGAGAAUCUUCGGCAAUGGGCGCAAGCCUGACCGAGCGACGCCGCGUGGAGGACGAAGGCCUUCGGGUUGUAAACUCCUGUCGAGGGGAAGAAAGCCGCCGCGAGGCGGUUGAUCGAUCCCUGGAGGAAGGACGGGCUAAGUUCGUGCCAGCCGCCGCAGUAACAC